RNAcentral lists this unclassified non-coding RNA (2015 nucleotides) under Schistocerca americana (American grasshopper). RNAcentral's name for it is "aTP-dependent RNA helicase dbp2-like, transcript variant X4". Lineage: Eukaryota; Metazoa; Arthropoda; Insecta; Orthoptera; Acrididae. The record is from RNAcentral.
UUAUACAGUGUUAUAGGGAUCACAUUCGUUUAGUUUAUGGCUAUCGCAUUUUGUUCAGUAGUAUUAUUAAAGCGAAAAAUUGUAACAUCUGGAGCGUUUUCGAGAGACAAUAAUAACUGUAUUCUUCCGCGUGCAGCAGUUGCUUCCUCUUGACGCCAUGUUCUUACGUGGAGUGGUUGAUCUGGUGGAGGUUGACUCGUGAAAAGCGUUUAAUUUGAGUUUGUUACUAGUUUGACUUUAUUUUGAACUUGAACCGUGUUUUAAAAAAAAAGAGUGCGAAAUGGGAAGGUCGGAUAGAAGAGACAGAGACAGGGACCGGGACAGGGAUCGAGAUAGGGACAGGGACAGAGACAGGUCUCGUGACAGGGGCCGAGACCGAGACAGGGACAGAGAUCGUGAUAGAAGUCGGCGAAGGAGCCGUAGUCGCAGUAGAGAUCGUUAUCGUGAUGACCGAAGAGGUGGUGGUGGACGAGGGAAAAGAAGUCAAGCUGGAGCUAAUCUCCGGAAACCACAUUGGGACCUAAGCAGACUUCAACCUUUUCGCAAAGACUUCUAUGUUCCUCAUCCAGAUGUAGCAAACAGGUCACCACAGGAAGUUGAAGAAUAUAGAAGUUCCAAAGAAAUAACGCUUAAAGGUCGCAAUGUUCCAAAUCCUAUCAGAACAUUUGAUGAAGCUGGUUUCCCAGAAUAUGUACUUAAAGAAAUAAAAAAGCAAGGGUUCUCAGAACCUACAGCUAUCCAAGCUCAGGGUUGGCCCAUUGCAUUGAGUGGAAGAGAUAUGGUGGGCAUUGCGCAAACUGGUUCAGGAAAAACUCUUUCGUAUGUUUUGCCAGCUAUUGUGCACAUAAAUAAUCAGCCUCGUCUUCAGCGUGGGGAUGGACCAAUUGUUCUGAUACUGGCUCCAACUAGGGAAUUGGCACAGCAAAUUCAGCAAGUAGCAAAUGAUUUUGGAGCUUCUUCACAGAUUCGCAACACUUGUGUUUUUGGUGGUGCACCAAAAGCUCCACAGGCAAGAGAUUUGGAGCGAGGUGUAGAAAUUGUCAUUGCAACACCUGGACGCUUAAUCGACUUCCUUGAAAGUGGGAAAACAAACCUAAAGAGGUGCACAUAUCUAGUUUUGGAUGAAGCUGAUAGAAUGCUUGACAUGGGAUUUGAACCACAGAUUCGCAAAAUUGUUGAACAGAUACGGCCUGAUAGACAAACAUUGAUGUGGUCAGCAACAUGGCCAAAAGAUGUCAGAAAUCUAGCAGAAGAAUUUCUCAAAGACUACACGCAGAUUAAUGUUGGCUCACUCCAGUUAUCAGCAAAUCAUAACAUUCUUCAGAUAAUCGAUGUCUGCCAAGAGUAUGAAAAGGAGCAGAAGUUAAGCACGCUAUUAAAAGAAAUAAUGGCUGAGAAAGAGAAUAAAAGCAUAGUGUUCAUAGAAACAAAGAGGCGCGUUGAUGAAAUUACGAGAAAAAUGCGACGUGAUGGGUGGCCAGCAUCUUGCAUCCAUGGAGACAAAUCUCAACCAGAGAGAGACUGGGUUCUUCAAGAAUUUCGCACAGGAAAAUCACCGAUUCUUGUUGCUACUGAUGUUGCUGCUCGAGGCUUAGAGGCACAAGCAAGAUAAUGCAAAGGUGGUUUGCAUUGUCGUUCAGGCUGUGCCUCUCUGGCUUCUCUGCGGGCCACUCGGUAGGCCUGCGGGCCACUCGGUAGGCCCCUGAGAGAAAGCCGAGUAACAGAAGGGGGUUGCACGCCCCCCCGUUCGCCGUCGCAGGUGCAUGCUCCCAACCGAGUUGCUUAAGAUGGCCCAGUUGUAGGGCAGCAGUAAGCAACUUGUGCGGAGUGUGCACCUGACUGCACUACUAGGCCUGUUAGUGGUUCGCACACAGAUGUGGAGGAUGUAAAGUUUGUCAUUAACUUUGACUACCCCUCAAGUUCGGAAGAUUAUGUUCAUCGUAUUGGGAGGACAGGACGAUCUCAAAGAACAGGCACUGCAUAUACCUUUUUUACACCAAGCAAUGCAAGACAAG